This 110-nucleotide non-coding RNA is filed under the name Streptomyces caatingaensis. Its description in RNAcentral is "Streptomyces RNA 4115". It matches the Rfam family "Streptomyces RNA 4115". From Rfam's summary of the family: Identified by deep sequencing of transcriptome at the end of exponential growth phase. Sequencing size consistent with notrthern blot size. The record is from Rfam by way of RNAcentral. Lineage: Bacteria; Bacillati; Actinomycetota; Actinomycetes; Kitasatosporales; Streptomycetaceae.
GCGUGGGUCGGCCCGCUGACUGGAUCCAGUGGGCUGGGGGAAGCCGUCGCCUCAUUCCCCGCGGGCGGCGGACCGGUCCGGGAGGUGCGGCUCGCGCCUCCCGGACUGCG